This 435-nucleotide ribosomal RNA is filed under the name uncultured bacterium. RNAcentral's name for it is "partial 16S ribosomal RNA". It matches the Rfam family "Bacterial small subunit ribosomal RNA", at positions 29 to 507 of the family's 1533-position model. The record is from RNAcentral.
AGCGAACGCUGGCGGCAGGCUUAACACAUGCAAGUCGAGCGGGCACUUUCGGGUGUCAGCGGCGGACGGGUGAGUAACGCGUGGGAACGUGCCCUCUGGUUCGGAAUAACUCAGGGAAACUUGAGCUAAUACCGGAUACGCCCUUUUGGGGAAAGGCUUGCUGCCGGAGGAUCGGCCCGCGUCUGAUGAGCUGGUUGGUGAGGUAACGGCUCACCAAGGCGACGAUCAGUAGCUGGUCUGAGAGGAUGCUCAGCCACACUGGGGCUGAGACACGGCCCAGACUCCUACGGGAAGCAGCAGUGGGGAAUAUUGGACAAUGGGCGCAAGCCUGAUCCAGCCAUGCCGCGUGAGUGAUGAAGGCCUUAGGGUUGUAAAGCUCUUUUAUCCGGGACGAUAAUGACGGUACCGGAGGAAUAAGCCCCGGCUAACUUCGUG